RNAcentral lists this ribosomal RNA (254 nucleotides) under uncultured bacterium. Its description in RNAcentral is "partial 16S ribosomal RNA". It matches the Rfam family "Bacterial small subunit ribosomal RNA", at positions 524 to 776 of the family's 1533-position model. The record is from RNAcentral.
UACGUAGGGUGCGAGCGUUGUCCGGAAUUAUUGGGCGUAAAGAGCUUGUAGGCGGUUUGUCGCGUCUGCUGUGAAAACCCGGGGCUCAACCCCCGGGCCUGCAUUCGAUACGGGCAGACUAGAGUUCGGUAGGGGAGUCUGGAAUUCUUGGUGUAGCGGUGAAAUGCGCAGAUAUCAGGAGGAACACCAGUGGCGAAGGCAGGCUACUGGACAGAAGGUGACGCUGAGGCGCGAAAGUGUGGGGAGCGAACCGG